Molecule: long non-coding RNA, 609 nt
Organism: Glycine soja
Lineage: Eukaryota; Viridiplantae; Streptophyta; Magnoliopsida; Fabales; Fabaceae
Exons: 2
Source: RefSeq, a predicted model, not a curated record
GGGAAACAGUACCUCUCACCCUCAUCCUCUAUUUAAAGACCCUCCUUGGUGCCACUUUCCCACAACACACUGAAAGGAAAGGCCAGAUGUACUGAGCACAAGAAAGCAAUUAAAUUAACAAAGAGAGCUAUAUAUAUAUAUAGCUAAAACAUCUAUAUAGUCAUCAUGUCAGGGCAGAGAAGGUCGUCAAGAACUUCAAAGUUCACUGAGAUUGAGAUUAAUGAACUUGUGUCUAGGUUACAAGUUCUGCUUCUGCAAGGGAACCAAAGAGGCAACUCAAGGCAAUCAGCGUCCAAGAUCUUGCAGGAAACCUGCUGUUACAUUAGGAAGCUGCAGGAAGAGGUGGAACAGCUCAGUGAGAGACUAUCAGAGCUCAUGGAUUCUGUGGAUAUCAGUGACAUUGACAGAAGAACUUUACAAAACCUUUUGCAACAAUAUUAACAAAAUGGCCCCUUUUCUACAGUGAUAAAUACCUUGUCUCCCUUAUAUAUGUUUGUUCCCCCAGUACUGUAGCUAGGUUGUAAUGGAGCCUUUCCUAAUUUUGUUUUUUUUUUGGAAUUAUGGAGCCUUUUCAAGCAUGCAAUAAUAACAUACCAUAUGUUGGAAUAA